AUAGAUGUGCACGUGUGUGCUGGGGGAAGGAUGUUCAAAUAAAUAAUCUGUAGUCAGCACAAGAAAUUGACCACUAAUUGGAAAACACAGAUGCUUUACAUAUUAUAUAAAUAAUUUAUUUUUCUCCUUCAACUGGUUCUACAGUAUCUGGGAAGGACCUCUGACGAUCCUAAACUCCUUCUGUGUGGCAAGGCUCUGUGUUAGGUGCAUGGGCCAUGGAGUGGAUGUGCAGUCCAGACCCACCUUCUUAUAGGGUCUAUUGGACAAGAAGAUAAGAACAUCAAAAUGAUAUAAAGAAUAUAUAAUAUACCAAAAUACACUCUAAUGUCAUUAUAUGUAAAAAGAACAAAUAAAAAAAUAUACAGAGAGAAGAAUAGCAAUGGUAUUAUACCCAGGUAUUCUAGGGACACAGACCAAAAUCAGAGUGGGAAAUGAUGAAAUUUUCAUGUGUAAUUUCUGGGACAUCUUGUUAGAAGAAAGAAAACCCAAUCCAAACUAAAAAACAAAAAUGCUUCUUUGGUCAGAAAUCUCUACAGUAAGACUUGAAUGCUAGUCAAUGGUGGCAAAGUACAGAAGAGCAAAGAUGACCAUCUUCAUGGAAGAUUCCCUCCACACUCUUAGCAGAAGUUUCACUGAAUGGUACAGUAAAUGCUAUUCUUUCUCUACUUCUAUAGUCCAUCAGGGUUCACAGUUGAGUUGUGAACAUCAGGAUCAGUUGGGUUUUCACGCUGAAGAAUACAAGCCUUUUAUACUUAUAGGGGCCAGUUAGUGUUGAGAUGUCUUUCCUAUGGCACAUCAUUUGGAUUGUUCUGAUCUAGCCCUUAUGAUUACUGUCAUGUGACACACAUAUAGUUUCAUCCUGUUCUUCUCUAAUUCAGCUUUGAUUCCUGCCUUUGCCCUGAGCCUCUAAAUCUUGUUCUUCAAUGCUAGUCCUAAGAUGCAGGAUAAAGCCACCUGCUAUAUCUUCUCCGAACUCUUUGCUCACCUGUUUGACUAGAACUUCUGCACCUGAAACAUAAUCAUCUUAUAUAAAGACACCCACCAGGCAUUUACUACUGUUUGCUUGUUUCAGAUUCAAGAAGCGUUGACACAUGGUUGGAAUCCAAGCUCUAGUAUCCAGUUGCCAGAUACUGACUGGAUCAGUUACUGAUUCUGUUUGACUUUGCAAAUUACCCCAAGUUCAUACACUCCAGUAAUAUGAAGACGAUAAUGAUAGUUUCUAUGCAAUGAAUUGCUACAAGGAUUAAACACAUGCAAAAUAUGCAAAACUGCAUUUGGCACAUAGUGACUAUAGCUUUGUUUCCUGAUCAUCAAUUUUGCUGCUGAUCUAGAAUUUCCUAAGAGCUUAAAGGGCAAGAGGGAUUCUGUCCCCAUUUAUUGCAACUCACUCAUGCCUAUUAAUUUUGAUUAUACGUUACAAUACAGUCUAAUAUUUAAGGAUACGUAUAUUUUUAAAAAGGAGCUCUGUGACUUUUAUUAUAGUGUUAACAUUAUUUUUUAUAAAUUCUUUUUAAAAGGACUUUAAAUGUCAAGAAAUACAAUGAACAGUAUUCCAUGAAUUUUGAAUCUCAAGCAUUCAUGAAUCAGGAACAAAUAUUGGUUAAGGGUCCCAACAGGCAUGUGGUCCCUGAGGUAGGGGCACGUGCUCCCUCUGAGAUUUCUAUAACUUUGGAAUAUUUUGUUGAGUGAAAAUCAAGAAGUGUGUAAAUGUUCUAAUAUUCACCUUUUGUAUAAUGCUCUCUCAGCUAACACUUGGGUAAUAUUCCUCCUGUCAAGUGCAGAAAGAGCAGGUUGGGUUGACAGGGAAAGGACAACCUUUAACAGGAAUACAAAUGAAAAGAAGAAAUAUAAUGUGGGUGGUAAUUGAAUGAUGAACUAGAUCUUUAUAAAGAGCCUUCACUUUGUCAAAAGAUAAUAGGUGUCGUUUAGUGCUUUGUAAUUGCUUCUCAUUAAAAAAUUGCAAAAGAAUUGUCAAGUGAAAAUGUAAGAUCUUUUAUUAUCUCAAAAUAUUAAGUUGCUAAAGUUAGAAACCCAUAAAUUUCUUUUUCUUAAAUAUUUUCCUAAAAUCUCCCCUAUAGAAC
This 2081-nucleotide long non-coding RNA is filed under the name Marmota monax (woodchuck). The record is from RNAcentral. Lineage: Eukaryota; Metazoa; Chordata; Mammalia; Rodentia; Sciuridae.